GGCAGAGGGAGCCGAGUUCCCGCGAGGGCGCGGCCUCGCCGCGCCCCCGUGAGGAAAGUCCCCCCACCGUUCGGGCAGGCGACCGGACGCAAGUCCGGAGCGGGAGACCGCUGGCUCUGGAACAGAAACGAGACCCCUCUCCCCGACCGAUGAGGUGCGCGAAUCCCGACCCGAGACGGCUCACGCCGAGGAAAGGAACGGAGAGUUGACCCACCGAGGGACAGCGUCCCGGCAUUGCCGGCACGCGGACGGGAGAGAACGGAUGGAACGGCGAAUCCUCGCCGGUGCAAGUCCACGCCGCGAUGCGCGGCGUUUCGACGCCGUGCAUCGUCAAGGUAGCCCGGACGACGGCGCGGACGCUCAGCCGAAUACUCGGACGAACAGAAGGGGGCUUACUCCCCUCAGCC
Molecule: RNase P RNA, 407 nt
Filed under: Halorussus limi
Lineage: Archaea; Methanobacteriati; Methanobacteriota; Halobacteria; Halobacteriales; Haladaptataceae
Description: Halorussus sp. XZYJT49 RNase P RNA component
Rfam family: Archaeal RNase P
About the family: Ribonuclease P (RNase P) is a ubiquitous endoribonuclease, found in archaea, bacteria and eukarya as well as chloroplasts and mitochondria. Its best characterised activity is the generation of mature 5'-ends of tRNAs by cleaving the 5'-leader elements of precursor-tRNAs. Cellular RNase Ps are ribonucleoproteins.
Source: RNAcentral